This 305-nucleotide ribosomal RNA is filed under the name uncultured bacterium. Its description in RNAcentral is "bacterial SSU rRNA". It matches the Rfam family "Bacterial small subunit ribosomal RNA", at positions 338 to 640 of the family's 1533-position model. The record is from RNAcentral.
ACUACGGGACGCAGCAGUGAGGAAUAUUGGUCAAUGGGCGAGAGCCUGAACCAGCCAAGUCGCGUGAAGGAUGACGGCCCUACGGGUAGUAAACUUCUUUGGUAAGGGAGCAAUAGGGUCCACGUGAGGGCUUAGCGAGAGUACCUGAAGAAAAAGCAUCGGCUAACUCCGUGCCAGCAGCCGCGGUAAUACGGAGGAUGCGAGCGUUAUCCGGAUUUAUUGGGUUUAAAGGGUGCGUAGGCGGAAUAUCAAGUCAGCGGUAAAAAUUCGGGGCUCAACCCCGUCGUGCCGUUGUAACUGAUGUU